RNAcentral lists this ribosomal RNA (173 nucleotides) under uncultured bacterium. RNAcentral's name for it is "partial 16S ribosomal RNA". It matches the Rfam family "Bacterial small subunit ribosomal RNA", at positions 338 to 508 of the family's 1533-position model. The record is from RNAcentral.
CCUACGGGAGGCAGCAGUGAGGAAUAUUGGUCAAUGGGCGAGAGCCUGAACCAGCCAAGUAGCGUGCAGGAUGACGGCCCUAUGGGUUGUAAACUGCUUUUAUAAGGGAAUAAAGUGGGGCUCGUGAGCUCCUUUGCAUGUACCUUAUGAAUAAGGACCGACUAAUUCCGUGC